Molecule: long non-coding RNA, 151 nt
Organism: Oxyura jamaicensis (ruddy duck)
Lineage: Eukaryota; Metazoa; Chordata; Aves; Anseriformes; Anatidae
Exons: 3
Source: RefSeq, a predicted model, not a curated record
CUGUUACUGCCACAUGUAUUCUCUCGGAGCACGGUAUAUAGCUGCAAAAAGAGGCCAUGUAUUAUUCAUUGUGUGGAGACCCCCUUUCCUCAUCAAUUUCUCUUGUCAGGGACUAUUAUUCUAAAAACAACACAGUUAACAAAAGAGCCAU